CCUACGGGAGGCAGCAGUGAGGAAUAUUGGUCAAUGGGCGGGAGCCUGAACCAGCCAGGCCGCGUGAGGGAAGAAGGUACAGCGUAUCGUAAACCUCUUUUGUCAGGGAACAAAGGCGGGGACUAGUCCCCGGAUGAGGGUACCUGAUGAAAAAGCAUCGGCUAACUCCGUGCCAGCAGCCGCGGUAAUACGGAGGAUGCGAGCGUUAUCCGGAUUUAUUGGGUUUAAAGGGUGCGCAGGCGGCCUGUUAAGUCAGUGGGAAAAGCCCGGGGCUAAACCCCGUCGAGCCGUUGAAACUGGGGGGCUGGAGUGGGAGAGAAGGACGCGGAAUGCGCGGUGUAGCGGUGAAAUGCUUAGAUAUCGCGCAGAACCCCGAUUGCGAAGGCAGCGUACCGGCUCCAAACUGACGCUGAGGCACGAAAGCGUGGGUAUCGAACAGGAUUAGAUACCCUAGUAGUC
RNAcentral lists this ribosomal RNA (459 nucleotides) under uncultured bacterium. RNAcentral's name for it is "partial 16S ribosomal RNA". It matches the Rfam family "Bacterial small subunit ribosomal RNA", at positions 338 to 795 of the family's 1533-position model. The record is from RNAcentral.